This 247-nucleotide unclassified non-coding RNA is filed under the name Hevea brasiliensis (rubber tree). The record is from RNAcentral. Lineage: Eukaryota; Viridiplantae; Streptophyta; Magnoliopsida; Malpighiales; Euphorbiaceae.
AUUCUUGACGUUGAUGACACUUGCCUCUCCAAUAUCUUUUAUUACAAGGGAAAGAGAUAUGGGUGUGAUCCAUACGAUCCGGCUGCUUUCAAGGCAUGGGUAUUGAAGGAAAGGUGUACAGCUAUUCCUGCUGUGUUUAGAUUGUUCCAGGUCCUGGUUGAGAGUGGUUUUAAGGUAUUCAUCGUCACUGGCAGAGACCAAACUCUUGGCCAAGCCACUAUCCAUAAUUUGCAUAAUCAAGGAUUCA